Molecule: long non-coding RNA, 326 nt
Filed under: Lactuca sativa (garden lettuce)
Lineage: Eukaryota; Viridiplantae; Streptophyta; Magnoliopsida; Asterales; Asteraceae
Description: long non-coding RNA (LSAT_LNC006828)
Source: RNAcentral
UAAGUGGCGGCUCUUUCAACGGAUCCACUGUACUCACAAACACAUCUAUAGGAGCUAACUCAGAUGGCUUCCCCUCUUUCUCAUACCUAAAAUAAAAAACUUAGGUUAAAAUUUUUUAAACUAGAGAUGCAAGAAAGAUUAAUGGGAGUUGAAUAAAUAACAAUUUAUGUACCUUAGUGAUAAUCGAUCGAGGUAUGUUUCACGUUCAAUUGGGAACCAUUUUGGGAAUUGAUCAAAGAUCCAUGAAACAGCAAACCAUAUUUCACAAAUAACUGAAAUGAGCCACAAGGCGUAUGCAUCGUUCACAGGGUGGAGGAUUCUAUAGU